CCCUAGCUGAUGGGAUCCAAACAGAUCGAAACAGCUGUCCAGCAC
This 45-nucleotide non-coding RNA is filed under the name Echinostoma caproni. Lineage: Eukaryota; Metazoa; Platyhelminthes; Trematoda; Plagiorchiida; Echinostomatidae. The record is from RNAcentral.